This is a long non-coding RNA of Lactuca sativa (garden lettuce), 767 nucleotides long. RefSeq lists it as uncharacterized. NCBI's taxonomy places the organism in Eukaryota, Viridiplantae, Streptophyta, Magnoliopsida, Asterales, Asteraceae. The record is from RefSeq and is a predicted model, not a curated record.
ACGUUUUGAUAACAAAAAUUCUUUUAUUGAUUUAGGUUUUUGAUUUAGAUAACGAUUUCUGUGAAAGUUUCUUAUAUGGUGGUUUACAUAUUCUUAUAAUUAUCAAAUUCUGGUCCUAGAUUUUGAAACUCAGAUUCCAGAACUUAUGCAGAGGACACAAGGGAAUGAAGAGCUUCCUGGUGAUUUAAUCUCAGUGUGAAGCUUUUAUCGGUCUUCCAUCAAAUAGGGGGAGAUUGAUACAUCUUUCCCAGCAUGUGAAAACGGUUUGUGUAGAUUGUUAUUUUCAGCAUCAAUGUGUCAUAAUUUCGCAUCUAUGGAGUAAAUGUUAAACUAAUAAAAAGGCAACAAAACAAGAUGCCUUCGUGGAAUUACAUAGUUAAGUGGGAAAGUUGUAGAUUUUGUAGAACUCAAAAGGAAUUAUAUAUGAUUUAGUUUAGUAUUGACAAACACAUUGAGUUGCCAGUUAGGAGUUGGCACAUGAAUAGACGGAGGUUGCUUCAUUGUCUGGAAAAAACAAGGAACCUUUGAUAGAGGAAUACAAUGCUAAUAAAGAGAGAGACACUUAGUUCCGACUUCUUUUUCAAUGUUAUCCAAAUUAUUCAUUUCUUUUGUCUAUGUACCGAUGUUAUCAAUGUUUAGUUUCGAGUGCAAUCUAUGUACCCAUAUAACCAAAUCCAUCACAAAAAACAAUAACCCUCCCGACUCAUGUGAAGCAUGGGAUACAUUACUAGUUUUAUCCUAAUAGAUAAUUCAUCUUUAAGAAGAAA